RNAcentral lists this ribosomal RNA (429 nucleotides) under Chloroflexota bacterium. RNAcentral's name for it is "Chloroflexi bacterium partial 16S ribosomal RNA". It matches the Rfam family "Bacterial small subunit ribosomal RNA", at positions 355 to 776 of the family's 1533-position model. Lineage: Bacteria; Bacillati; Chloroflexota. The record is from RNAcentral.
UGGGGAAUAUUGCACAAUGGGCGCAAGCCUGAUGCAGCCAUGCCGCGUGUGUGAAGAAGGCCUUCGGGUUGUAAAGUACUUUCAGCGGGGAGGAAGGGAGUACAGUUAAUACCUUUGCUCAUUGACGUUACCCGCAGAAGAAGCACCGGCUAACUCCGUGCCAGCAGCCGCGGUAAUACGGAGGGUGCAAGCGUUAAUCGGAAUUACUGGGCGUAAAGCGCACGCAGGCGGGUUGUUAAGUCAGAUGUGAAAUCCCCGGGCUCAACCUGGGAACUGCAUCUGAUACUGGCAAGCGUGAGUCACGUAGAGGGGGGUAGAAUUCCAGGUGUAGCGGUGAAAUGCGUAGAGAUCUGGAGGAAUACCGGUGGCGAAGGCGGCCCCCUGGACGAAGACUGACGCUCAGGUGCGAAAGCGUGGGGAGCAAACAGG